This 775-nucleotide non-coding RNA is filed under the name Glanycus foochowensis. The record is from RNAcentral. Lineage: Eukaryota; Metazoa; Arthropoda; Insecta; Lepidoptera; Thyrididae.
UUUUUAUAAUUUAUAAAUUUUAAUUUUAAUUUAUUUUACAUAUAAAUUUUAGUGUGUAUUUUUAAUUAUUUUAAUAAUAAUUAAUUUAUAAUAAUAGUAAUUAAUAUUAAAAAUUUAAGAAAUUAAGAUUUAGUAAUAUAAAAAUAAAUAACAAAUUUUGUGCCAGCAGUUGCGGUUAAACAAAAAUUUAAUUAAAUUUUAUUAGAUUUUAAUAAAUAAUUUUUAAUAAAAUUAUAAAAUAUUAAAUUAUUAGGUGAAAUUUUAAUUUAAUUAAAAUUUAUAGAAAAAAAUUAUGAUUUAAUAAAUUUUAAUUUAAACUAGGAUUAGAUACCCUAUUAUUAAAAAUUUAAGUUUAAAAACUAAAAUAGUAAUUAAUUAUUUAAUGAAACUUAAAUAAUUUGGCGGUAUUUUAGUAUAUUUAGAGGAAUCUGUUUAAUAAUUGAUAUUCCACGAAUAAAUUUACUUAAUUUAAAAUUUUGUAUAUCGUUGUUAAAAAAAUAUUUUUUAUAAAUUUGAUAAUAUUUUAAAAUUAAAAUAAAUAAUUUAAAUCAGAUCAAGAUGCAGAUUAUAAUUAAGAAUAUAAUGGAUUACAAUAAAUUUAUUUAAAUGAAUAUUAAUUUGUAAAAAUUAAUUAAAAGUGGAUUUAAAUGUAAUUUUAUUUAAUUUAUUAAAAUGAUUUUUAAUUAAAAUAUGUACAUAUUGCCCGUCGCUUUCAUUAAUAAAUUGAAAUAAGUCGUAACAAAGUAGGGGUACUGGAAAGUGUUCCUAGAAAGAU